RNAcentral lists this ribosomal RNA (274 nucleotides) under uncultured bacterium. RNAcentral's name for it is "partial 16S ribosomal RNA". It matches the Rfam family "Bacterial small subunit ribosomal RNA", at positions 523 to 796 of the family's 1533-position model. The record is from RNAcentral.
AUACGGAGGGUGCAAGCGUUAUCCGGAAUCACUGGGUUUAAAGGGUGCGUAGGUGGCUUGGUAAGUCAGAGGUGAAAGCCCACCGCUUAACGGUGGAACUGCCUUUGAUACUGUCAGGCUUGAAUAAGGUUGAGGUCGGCGGAAUGUGUCAUGUAGCGGUGAAAUGCAUAGAUAUGACAUAGAACACCAAUUGCGAAGGCAGCUGGCUAGACCUUUAUUGACACUGAGGCACGAAAGCGUGGGGAGCGAACAGGAUUAGAAACCCCAGUAGUCC